ACAUGUAAAAACCAAUUAGAGCAAAAUUUCAUAAAUCAAACCUCAACAAUGUUUACGCUCCAUGAUUGAUGAAAAGGAAAUUAGCCAUCCAUUGAGAUGAUAGAACUCAUGGAAUAAGAAAUUACAAGAGAAAGAAAGAACAAGAAAACCUAAAGAUGAAAUAAGUAAAAUUGAGAAAGCUCUCAAACUCCUUUUUUUUCUCUUGCUAUGCCUUGCUUCUCUAUUUAUACAAUAUAUAGACAGCCCCUUGUGAUGUUGUCCAGCAAAAUUCCAUUCCUUAACCGGUAAGUUUCAAGUGCAAGUUGUGAGAAAGUAAAAAACAAUUUGCUUCAGCUCUAACCGUCAUUGUAUGAAUGAAUCAGAAUUAAAUGAAGUCAAUUUAAUUUGGCGAAAAAUGGACCCCACCCGCUUGCGAACCAAAUUAGACAACAAAAUGAAGUGAAUUAGGGUUGCUAGACUAUCCAAAGAUUGGAAGUAAAAUACCUAAAAUAACUCAAUCUGCAAAACCAAGAUACAAUAUGAAUAAAAACUUUGAAUCAAUGACUGAAUUUUCCCCAUAUGCAUUGGUGUAGGUUGACAAAUCAUCAAACAACCUUUGAUAAUACUACAACAUAUAUUUUUACAUGCUAGAUUCAGUUUUCCUCAUGCUGCUACUCUCAAUUAAAAUUUUAAGCCAUUUACAAAAAUACAAUAUCAAUGUAUGUCCAUGAUCAUAAACUAGGAAGCAUGUCUCAAACGGUAAAACAUCUCUCUGAAUUUAUUCAAUGUACACGAUACUUUUAUACAAACCCUACACAAUAUUUGAUUCCAAGUUGUCGAAUGACGGUUCACAAUAUGGCGGUGGACUAUAACCAAAUCGAUAGACAAAGCUCUUGCACUUGAAUUUCUCAGUUGUAGUGAUUAUUUUGAAGCAUGAGUCAGGCAUGAUGCUAACAAAACAUCCCAAACUGAGGAGUUUGUGUUGAGCUUCAAAAAAUAUCCAAAUCAAUGGAGCUAUUUAGCACACCAUCAU
RNAcentral lists this long non-coding RNA (1012 nucleotides) under Trifolium pratense (red clover). RNAcentral describes it as "long non-coding RNA (TPRA_LNC004109)". The record is from RNAcentral. Lineage: Eukaryota; Viridiplantae; Streptophyta; Magnoliopsida; Fabales; Fabaceae.